CUGCCACCGGCUUGCACCCAGCUCCUGUUCUCCUGGGAACCCUCAGGCCCUCCUCUGGAGAAACAAGCUCUCUGGAAAAAGAUAAGGUGUGACAGCCUCUGAUAAGGCCCCAGGGAUUCUCACCAAAGGAUUCUCCGAAGCAUCCAGAAGAAGUUCUGAAGGGCUGAUGGCUCCCGGAGCCUCCCGGAAGGGACAGAGCUUGAGCCUCCUUGUAGGUGCCCUGGUCACCUGAAGUCACC
Molecule: long non-coding RNA, 239 nt
Filed under: Mustela putorius furo (domestic ferret)
Lineage: Eukaryota; Metazoa; Chordata; Mammalia; Carnivora; Mustelidae
Description: lncRNA (ENSMPUG00000031009.1)
Source: RNAcentral